RNAcentral lists this transfer RNA (76 nucleotides) under Nicotiana attenuata. It matches the Rfam family "tRNA". From Rfam's summary of the family: Transfer RNA (tRNA) molecules are approximately 80 nucleotides in length. Their secondary structure includes four short double-helical elements and three loops (D, anti-codon, and T loops). Lineage: Eukaryota; Viridiplantae; Streptophyta; Magnoliopsida; Solanales; Solanaceae. The record is from Rfam by way of RNAcentral.
GGUUCUAUAGUUUAGUGGUUUAGCACUCUGGACUUUAAAUCCAGCAGCGACCUGGCUUCGACUCCUAGUAGAACAU